Molecule: non-coding RNA, 166 nt
Filed under: Platyophrya macrostoma
Lineage: Eukaryota; Ciliophora; Colpodea; Cyrtolophosidida; Platyophryidae
Source: RNAcentral
UCAAUAUCAAAAAAAAAAAAAAAAAAAAAAACGAAUGCCACACAAAACAAAAGAAAUGAACGGCGUAUCAAAGCCGAAUAUAUUUUUUUUUUUUGCCUUUCAAAUGAGAGAAAGUACCCCUUCUCUUUAGUUCUCUUUGUCCCAUGUAUCGAUGAUUUUCAAAAAA